This 653-nucleotide unclassified non-coding RNA is filed under the name Sipha flava (yellow sugarcane aphid). RNAcentral's name for it is "kRAB-A domain-containing protein 2-like, transcript variant X1". Lineage: Eukaryota; Metazoa; Arthropoda; Insecta; Hemiptera; Aphididae. The record is from RNAcentral.
AUUUAUGUAUUUUGGAAUCGAGAAACUCUUUUAAAAAUUAUUAAAAAUGAAAUAAAAACUGGAACGAAAAUUUAUAGUGACCAAUGGAGAGCGUAAUCAACAUUAAAUCAUCAUCAAAGUUAACCAUUUAGAAUUUUAUUGAUCGGGAAACAAGAGCACACACUCAACAAAUAGAAGCCUUAUGGAGAAUUAUAAAAUCCAAAUAUAAUAUUAAAAAUAAUGGGGCGUCUCCUUUACUUGAUAGACAACUCCAAGAAGAGUGGUGGAGAUCGUGUCAAAAUCUAAAAACCAUUUUUAAUAACUUUUCGACUGAUAUGAAAAAAACAUUUCAUAACAAUAUGGACUGCAACAACACAGUUAUUGACGACACUGAGAAGUGGAAUAAAAAAAAGUAAAAAACAAUAGUUAUGAAAUUGGUACCACUGAAGGUAAACUUCAACAACUUUAUGCUAGAAACCAAUUUGAAAUAUGCAAAGAGUCGUUUGUCCAGAUUGUAGCAGUACCAGUAACAUCUCCGAUAUCACUAAGAGAAACAGCUAGAAAAUUUUCAAAUAUUGGCGGUCAAGGAUAUGACCGGUGUAACUAUAAACAGCAAUGCAAGACAAAUAAAUGUAAGUGUAGGGCUGCAGGUAAACUACUUCUAAAUGCCAUGA